UUUCCGUAGGUGAACCUGCGGAAGGAUCAUUAAUGAGUUGUCAUGGGGUUCGAUGCUGGCAGCCAAUUUUUGGAUGCAUGUGAUUGCCCUAACAAUCAUCUUCCAAACACCUGUGCACAUUUUUGAGGUAGUCUUGAGUUGGUUGCCGCUCUUGGGUGAUUUUCUCACAUUCCCUUAAACCAUUAUACGCUAUUAACAAUGUUGAACGUGCUCUGUGCCGCAAGGCUAUUAUUAUAAUACAACUUUUAACAACGGAUCUCUUGGCUCUC
Molecule: unclassified non-coding RNA, 269 nt
Filed under: plant metagenome
Description: partial contains small subunit ribosomal RNA, internal transcribed spacer 1, and 5.8S ribosomal RNA
Source: RNAcentral